Molecule: long non-coding RNA, 646 nt
Filed under: Lingula anatina
Lineage: Eukaryota; Metazoa; Brachiopoda; Lingulata; Lingulida; Lingulidae
Description: uncharacterized LOC106153466
Source: RNAcentral
GAAGGCAUUCAAACAAAAUGGCCGACCAACCCCAAAAGAAAGUUGAUUUGGGACUUCUUGAAGAAGAUGACGAAUUUGAAGAAUUUCCAACAGAUGAUUGGACGGAAGCAGAAGAAACGCAAGAAGAAAAUGUGUGGGAAGAUAACUGGGAUGAUGAUAAUGUGGAGGACGAUUUCUCACAACAGCUCAGGGCAGAGUUGGAGAAACAAGGACACAAGGAAGAGCCCAUGAAGACAUAGAACCACUAAAAGGAUGUCAGUAAACUUUGUGUAGUUUUCAUCAAGACCAAAAAUUGCCUGCAAUCAUUUACGUGACAUAUAUAACAUUAGUCAUGAGUUUUGAAAUGUGAUAAAACAUUAGAAGAAAGAAAGAGCAAAGGAAGACAAGGAUGGAGAUAUUUGUGGUAGCAUGGAUAUUCAAUGGACUACCUUGUCAUGUGCACUAGAUUGUUGGAUUAUGGAGGUUGUAAAAUAAAAAAUGCUCGGACAAGGCACACACAUGUACUCUGUGUACAGCUGAUGCUGUUUGAUAUAAAAGUGCAACUGAUUGCAUCAGAAAGAUUUGUAUUUUUUUUUUACACUCAAUUUUACACUGAAUUAUCAUUUAAAUAAAUAAUAUUAUGUGGUUGGAAAUGAUCACUUUUUGU